UGGGGAAUAUUGCACAAUGGGCGCAAGCCUGAUGCAGCCAUGCCGCGUGUGUGAAGAAGGCCUUCGGGUUGUAAAGCACUUUCAGCGGGGAGGAAGGCGGUGAGGUUAAUAACCUCAUCGAUUGACGUUACCCGCAGAAGAAGCACCGGCUAACUCCGUGCCAGCAGCCGCGGUAAUACGGAGGGUGCAAGCGUUAAUCGGAAUUACUGGGCGUAAAGCGCACGCAGGCGGUCUGUCAAGUCGGAUGUGAAAUCCCCGGGCUCAACCUGGGAACUGCAUUCGAAACUGGCAGGCUAGAGUCUUGUAGAGGGGGGUAGAAUUCCAGGUGUAGCGGUGAAAUGCGUAGAGAUCUGGAGGAAUACCGGUGGCGAAGGCAGCCCCCUGGACAAAGACUGACGCUCAGGUGCGAAAGCGUGGGGAGCAAACAGG
RNAcentral lists this ribosomal RNA (429 nucleotides) under Chloroflexota bacterium. RNAcentral describes it as "Chloroflexi bacterium partial 16S ribosomal RNA". It matches the Rfam family "Bacterial small subunit ribosomal RNA", at positions 355 to 776 of the family's 1533-position model. Lineage: Bacteria; Bacillati; Chloroflexota. The record is from RNAcentral.